Molecule: unclassified non-coding RNA, 335 nt
Filed under: soil metagenome
Description: partial contains 5.8S ribosomal RNA, internal transcribed spacer 2, and large subunit ribosomal RNA
Rfam family: 5.8S ribosomal RNA (bases 1-120)
Source: RNAcentral
GAUGAAGAACGCAGCGAAAUGCGUUAAGUAAUGUGAAUUGCAGAAUUCAGUGAAUCAUCGAAUCUUUGAACGCACAUUGCGCCCGCCAGUAUUCUGGCGGGCAUGCCUGUUCGAGCGUCAUUUCAACCAUCAAGCCCCCGGCUUGUGUUGGGGACCUGCGGCUGCCGCAGGCCCUGAAAACCAGUGGCGGGCUCGCUAGUCACUCCGAGCGUAGUAGUUACAUCUCGCUCAGGGCGUGCUGCGGGUUCCGGCCGUUAAAAGCCUUAUUUACCCAAGGUUGACCUCGGAUCAGGUAGGAAGACCCGCUGAACUUAAGCAUAUCAAUAAGCGGAGGA